AUGCAGCUCUGGCAGAAGGACGUGAUGUACGCCGGCGGCGUCAAGGACGAGGCCGGUAACCCGGCGUUCGCUCUCGUCAACAAGGCCACCGGAGACGCGCUGAAGCACUCCCUCGGCUACAAUCUGCCCGUCAGAGCCAUCCGGUUCAACCGGGGGUACCUCGACGAGUCGGUCCUGUGGGCGGAGACCGGGGACGUGGGCGGAGGCUACCGGCUAAUCCACAUGGUAAAUAACAUGGAUUACAUAUUUGACGCAGAGAAGGCGACCCCGCAGUUCGGCGGCGCGCGCGACGGCACGCGGCUCAUCCUCUUCCGCUGGAACCGCGGCCACAACCAGCUCUGGCGGAUCUCCGACGCGCUGGCUGGCCGCGGACCGCCGCAUCCAAACAUACAUGAGCUGAGCCUCACCGUCCGCAACGGCGCCGCCGUCCUCGCGCGCACGGAUCUGGAGGAUGACAAACAAGCUUGGAUCCAGAGCUUCCGGAACACCGGGCGAGUGACGGACUCGGAGGGGCGCAGCUCGUUCGCGCUGGUCAAUAAGGCCACCGGGAAGGUGCUGUGGCGCUCCCACGGCGACCAGAAGCUUCAGGUGGUCAGCUACUGCCCGGACUCGGUGGACGUUGCCCUGCUGUGGACGCGGGGCGGCGACCUUGGAGAAGGGUUCCACUGCAUCCACAGCGUCAGCGACCUUGGGUACGUCCUCGACGCUGCGGAGGGCGGGGCGCACGACGGGACGCCCGUCAUCUUGUUCGAGGCCAACGGCGGCCCGAACCAGAAGUGGAAGAUGAUGCCCUUUCAUUGA
Molecule: ribosomal RNA, 801 nt
Filed under: Triticum aestivum (bread wheat)
Lineage: Eukaryota; Viridiplantae; Streptophyta; Magnoliopsida; Poales; Poaceae
Description: partial small subunit ribosomal RNA
Source: RNAcentral